CAAUAAGUGUUCAAUGGCACUUUUAAAAUCCGAUUACCCACCUUAUGUGUGCAAUGUAAGGAGGAGGGGGUAUAAUUUUGUCAGACCUAUUUUAAGGGUCUGGUUUCCCCCUCUUCUCAUUAUACAUACCAAUCUUCUCUUGUUGUCUACUUUUGAGUAUAAAAAAACUCGGAAUA
RNAcentral lists this unclassified non-coding RNA (176 nucleotides) under soil metagenome. Its description in RNAcentral is "partial internal transcribed spacer 1". The record is from RNAcentral.